GAAAGUGUUUAACAAUAUCGAGCAACAUGCUACUGACAAGACACAAAACACAAUGGAAUGAUAAAGACUAAGAAUGAAUAACCUAAGGUUCAACUGUAGUUACUUGCUGCCAUUUACCACCGGUUCCUUCUUUCCACAAGGUAAUAUGGUUAUUCCCAUCAGAAACAGCCAACAAGUCUCCAGUCAAUGACCACGAAACCUUCCAGAUGGGAGUCUUAAAAUCAUUCACCAGUGUAGCAUCCCAUUUCCCUCCUUCCUUUGUUGACCAAAUAAUCACUGUCCCAUCCUGAGAACCACUUGCAAUGGUGGAUUUUUGAAGCCCUAGGUUUGGCGACCAAGCCACAUCUCUCACCCAAUCAGUGUGAAUCUGAAGGGAAAGGGAGGAAUCCCUCCUCCAGCUUCCAUCUUUGAGUGUCCAAACCUUCACUGAACUAUCGAAGCCCCCGGAAGCUAGCUUCCAAACAGGAUCCUCUGAACUGGAUCCAACUAAGGAACCAGGAGCCGUCAUAGGGCCCCAUGAAACUGAGGUUACUCCAACAGGGUGGGCUUGUUCAAUUGGAUUAUUGUCCCAGCCACCAUCAGAUCUGGCAAUAAAGACCGAUAUACUUCCAUCAGAUGAUCCACAGGCCAAACAGAGGCCAAGUUCAUGUGGUGCCCAGGCAAUAGAGUUCACCG
Molecule: long non-coding RNA, 675 nt
Filed under: Cucumis sativus (cucumber)
Lineage: Eukaryota; Viridiplantae; Streptophyta; Magnoliopsida; Cucurbitales; Cucurbitaceae
Description: long non-coding RNA (CSAT_LNC001284)
Source: RNAcentral